UACGUAGGGUGCGAGCGUUGUCCGGAAUUAUUGGGGCGUAAAGGGCUCGUAGGCGGUUUGUCGCGUCGGGAGUGAAAUCCACUGGCUUAACUGGUGGCUUGCUUUCGAUACGGGCAGACUGGAGGUAUGCAGGGGAGAACGGAAUUCCUGGUGUAGCGGUGAAAUGCGCAGAUAUCAGGAGGAACACCGGUGGCGACGGCGGUUCUCUGGGCAUGUCCUGACGCUGAGGAGCGAAAGUGUGGGGAGCGAACAGG
Molecule: ribosomal RNA, 254 nt
Filed under: uncultured bacterium
Lineage: Bacteria
Description: partial 16S ribosomal RNA
Rfam family: Bacterial small subunit ribosomal RNA
Source: RNAcentral